CUGGAUGCUGACGAGCGGCGGACGGGUGAGUAAUGCAUAGGAAUCUGCCCGAUAGUGGGGGAUAACCUGGGGAAACCCAGGCUAAUACCGCAUACGUCCUACGGGAGAAAGGGGGCUCCGGCUCCCGCUAUGGGAUGAGCCUAUGUCGGAUUAGCUAGUUGGUGAGGUAACGGCUCACCAAGGCCACGAUCCGUAGCUGGUCUGAGAGGAUGAUCAGCCACAUCGGGACUGAGACACGGCCCGAACUCCUACGGGAGGCAGCAGUGGGGAAUAUUGGACAAUGGGGGCAACCCUGAUCCAGCCAUGCCGCGUGUGUGAAGAAGGCCCUCGGGUUGUAAAGCACUUUCAGCGAGGAAGAACGCCUAGCGGUUAAUACCCGCUAGGAAAGACAUCACUCGCAGAAGAAGCACCGGCUAACUCUGUGCCAGCAGCCGCGGUAAUACGGAGGGUGCAAGCGUUAAUCGGAAUUACUGUGCGUAAAGCGCGCGUAGGUGGCUUGAUAAGCCGGUUGUGAAAGCCCCGGGCUCAACCUGGGAACGGCAUCCGGAACUGUCAAGCUAGAGUGCAGGAGAGGAAGGUAGAAUUCCCGGUGUGCGGUGAAAUGCGUAGAGAUCGGGAGG
RNAcentral lists this ribosomal RNA (620 nucleotides) under Vreelandella aquamarina. Its description in RNAcentral is "bacterial SSU rRNA". It matches the Rfam family "Bacterial small subunit ribosomal RNA", at positions 81 to 704 of the family's 1533-position model. Lineage: Bacteria; Pseudomonadati; Pseudomonadota; Gammaproteobacteria; Oceanospirillales; Halomonadaceae. The record is from RNAcentral.